GGGGGGAAUACUUUGACUCAUGAGGGAGAAGGGGAGGGGAAAGGCGUCUACCUAGAGGGUUUCUGUCGAUCAAGGGCGAGAGUAGGAGUAUCCCACAGGAUUAGAGACCCUGGUAGUUCCUACCUUAAACGAUGCCGACAGGAGUUUGUCAUUUGUUAAUGGCAGAAUCUUUGGAGAAAUCAUAGUUCUUGGGCUCUGGGGGAACUACGACCGCAAGGCUGAAACUUGAAGGAAUUGACGGAAGGGCACACCAGGGGUGGAGCCUGUGGCUUAAUUUGAAUCAACACGGGGAAACUUACCAGGACCAGAUGUUUUUUAUGACUGACAGGCUUCGGGUCUUUCAGGAUAUUGUUUUUGGUGGUGCAUGGCCGUUGGUGGUGCGUGGGUUGACCUGUCUAGCGUUGAUUCAGCUAACGAGCGAGAUUAUCGCCAAUUAUUUACUUUGCCGAAGUCCUUCGGUUAAAGUUCUAAUUGGGACUCCCUGCGAUUUUAGCAGGUGGAAGAGGGUAGCAAUAACAGGUCCGUGAUGCCCUUUAGAUGCUCUGGGCUGCACGCGUGCUACAAUGUUAGGAUCAAUAGGACUGCGAGCCUGAGAGGGUGCGCUACUCUUAUAAUCCCUAACGUAGUUGGGAUUGACGUUUGUAAUCAGCGUCAUGAACCAGGAAUCCCUUGUAAAUGUGUGUCAACAACGCACGUUGAAUACGUCCCUGCCCUUUGUACACACCGCCCGUCGCUCCUACCGAUUGGAUGACUCGGUGAAAUCACCGGAUGCUUACGAGCAGAAAGUGAUUAAAUCACGUUAUCUAGAGGAAGGAGAAGUCGUAACAAGGUAACGGUAGGUGAACCUGCCGUUGGAUCAGUU
Molecule: non-coding RNA, 862 nt
Filed under: Trichomonas vaginalis G3
Lineage: Eukaryota; Parabasalia; Trichomonadida; Trichomonadidae
Description: Eukaryotic small subunit ribosomal RNA
Rfam family: Eukaryotic small subunit ribosomal RNA
Source: Rfam by way of RNAcentral